GAUGAACGCUGGCGGCGUGCCUAAUACAUGCAAGUCGAGCGAACAGACGAGGAGCUUGCUCCUCUGACGUUAGCGGCGGACGGGUGAGUAACACGUGGAUAACCUACCUAUAAGACUAGGAUAACUUCGGGAAACCGGAGCUAAUACCGGAUAAUAUAUUGAACCGCAUGGUUCAAUAGUGAAAGGCGGUUUUGCUGUCACUUAUAGAUGGAUCCGCGCCGCAUUAGCUAGUUGGUAAGGUAACGGCUUACCAAGGCAACGAUGCGUAGCCGACCUGAGAGGGUGAUCGGCCACACUGGAACUGAGACACGGUCCAGACUCCUACGGGAGGCAGCAGUAGGGAAUCUUCCGCAAUGGGCGAAAGCCUGACGGAGCAACGCCGCGUGAGUGAUGAAGGUCUUCGGAUCGUAAAACUCUGUUAUUAGGGAAGAACAAAUGUGUAAGUAACUAUGCACGUCUUGACGGUACCUAAUCAGAAAGCCACGGCUAACUACGUG
Molecule: ribosomal RNA, 497 nt
Filed under: uncultured bacterium
Lineage: Bacteria
Description: partial 16S ribosomal RNA
Rfam family: Bacterial small subunit ribosomal RNA
Source: RNAcentral